UGACAUAUGUUCAACGGCCGCGGUACCCUGACCGUGCAAAGGUAGCAUAAUCAUUUGUUCCCUAAAUAGGGACUUGCAUGAAUGGCCACACGAGGGUUUAACUGUCUCUUACUUCCAAUCAGUGAAAUUGACCUAUCCGUGAAGAGGCGGAUAUAAACUAAUAAGACGAGAAGACCCUAUGGAGCUUUAAUUUAAUAAUACAAAUACUUAUCUACAAACCCACAGGCAAUAAUAUUGCUACCCAUGUAUUAUAAAUUUUGGUUGGGGUGACCUCGGAGCACAACAAAACCUCCGAAAAAUAAAUACUAAGACCUUACUAGUCUAAGUAAAUAUACACUUUUGACCCAAUAACUUGAUCAACGGACCAAGUUACCCUAGGGAUAACAGCGCAAUCCUAUUCUAGAGUCCAUAUCAACAAUAGGGUUUACGACCUCGAUGUUGGAUCAAGACAUCCUAAUGGUGCAGCCGCUAUUAAGGGU
This 479-nucleotide ribosomal RNA is filed under the name Chiropotes sp. CTGAM5663. Its description in RNAcentral is "partial large subunit ribosomal RNA". It matches the Rfam family "Bacterial large subunit ribosomal RNA", at positions 1914 to 2572 of the family's 2925-position model. Lineage: Eukaryota; Metazoa; Chordata; Mammalia; Primates; Pitheciidae. The record is from RNAcentral.